RNAcentral lists this small nuclear RNA (107 nucleotides) under Panthera tigris altaica (Amur tiger). The record is from RNAcentral. Lineage: Eukaryota; Metazoa; Chordata; Mammalia; Carnivora; Felidae.
GUGCUUGCUUCGGCAGCACAUAUACUAAAAUUGGAAGGACACAGAGAAGAUUAGCCCGGCCCCUGUGCAAGGAUGACAGGCAAAUUCGUGAAGGGUUCCAUGUUUUC